RNAcentral lists this ribosomal RNA (520 nucleotides) under uncultured Glomus. RNAcentral describes it as "SSU rRNA". It matches the Rfam family "Eukaryotic small subunit ribosomal RNA", at positions 569 to 1092 of the family's 1831-position model. Lineage: Eukaryota; Fungi; Glomeromycota; Glomeromycetes; Glomerales; Glomeraceae. The record is from RNAcentral.
AGCAGCCGCGGUAAUUCCAGCUCCAAUAGCGUAUAUUAAAGUUGUUGCAGUUAAAAAGCUCGUAGUUGAAUUUCGGGGUUAGUAGGUUGGUCAUGCCUCUGGUAUGUACUGGUCUCACUGAUUCCUCCUUCCUGAUGAGCCGUAAUGCCAUUAAUUUGGUGUUGCGGGGAAUUUGGACUGUUACUUUGAAAAAUUGAGUGUUUAAAGCAAGCUAACGCUUGAAUACAUUAGCAUGGAAUAAUGAAAUAGGACGUUCGAUCCUAUUUUGUUGGUUUCUAGGAUUGACGUAAUGAUUAAUAGGGAUAGUUGGGGGCAUUAGUAUUCAAUUGUCAGAGGUGAAAUUCUUGGAUUUAUUGAAGACUAACUACUGCGAAAGCAUUUGCCAAGGAUGUUUUCAUUAAUCAAGAACGAAAGUUAGGGGAUCGAAGACGAGUCAGAUACCGUCGUAGUCUUAACCAUAAACUAUGCCGACUAGGGAUCGGAUGAUGUUAAUUUUUUAUGACUCAUUCGGCGCCUUAAC